RNAcentral lists this ribosomal RNA (374 nucleotides) under uncultured organism. RNAcentral's name for it is "partial 16S ribosomal RNA". It matches the Rfam family "Bacterial small subunit ribosomal RNA", at positions 527 to 896 of the family's 1533-position model. The record is from RNAcentral.
GUAGGUGGCAAGCGUUGUCCGGAAUUAUUGGGCGUAAAGCGCGCGCAGGCGGUCCUUCAAGUCUGAUGUGAAAGCCCACGGCUCAACCGUGGAGGGUCAUUGGAAACUGGGGGACUUGAGUACAGAAGAGGAAAGCGGAAUUCCAGGUGUAGCGGUGAAAUGCGUAGAGAUUUGGAGGAACACCAGUGGCGAAGGCGGCUUUCUGGUCUGUAACUGACGCUGAGGCGCGAAAGCGUGGGGAGCAAACAGGGAUUAGAUACCCUGGUAGUCCACGCCGUAAACGAUGAGUGCUAAGUGUUAGGGGGGUUUCCGCCCCCUUAGUGCUGCAGCUAACGCAUUAAGCACUCCGCCUGGGGAGUACGGCCGCAAGGCUG